GAUGAAGAACGCAGCGAAAUGCGAUAAGUAAUGUGAAUUGCAGAAUUCAGUGAAUCAUCGAAUCUUUGAACGCACAUUGCGCCCCUUGGUAUUCCGAGGGGCAUGCCUGUUGGAGCGUCAUUAUAACCCCUCAAGCUCAGCUUGGUGUUGGGGCCUGCUGCACUGGCAGCCCUUAAAAUCAGUGGCGGCGCCAUCUGGCUCUAAGCGUAGUAAUUCUUCUCGCUAUGGAGUCCUGGUGGAUGCUUGCCAUCAACCCCCAAUUUUUCUAUGGUUGACCUCGGAUCAGGUAGGGAUACCCGCUGAACUUAAGCAUAUCAAUAAGCGGAGGA
This 329-nucleotide unclassified non-coding RNA is filed under the name soil metagenome. RNAcentral describes it as "partial contains 5.8S ribosomal RNA, internal transcribed spacer 2, and large subunit ribosomal RNA". The stretch from base 1 to 120 matches the Rfam family "5.8S ribosomal RNA", at positions 35 to 154 of the family's 154-position model. The record is from RNAcentral.